AAUAUUGCGCAAUGGGCGGAAGCCUGACGCAGCGACGCCGCGUGAGGGAUGACGGCCUUCGGGUUGUAAACCUCUUUCAGCUCUGACGAAGCGAGAGUGACGGUAGGAGCAGAAGAAGCACCGGCCAACUACGUGCCAGCAGCCGCGGUAAUACGUAGGGUGCAAGCGUUGUCCGGAAUUAUUGGGCGUAAAGAGCUCGUAGGCGGUUUGUCGCGUCGAAUGUGAAAACCCGGGGCUCAACUCCGGGCCUGCAUUCGAUACGGGCAGACUAGAGUUCGGUAGGGGAGACUGGAAUUCCUGGUGUAGCGGUGAAAUGCGCAGAUAUCAGGAGGAACACCGGUGGCGAAGGCGGGUCUCUGGGCCGAUACUGACGCUGAGGAGCGAAAGCGUGGGGAGCAA
RNAcentral lists this ribosomal RNA (399 nucleotides) under uncultured Nakamurellaceae bacterium. RNAcentral's name for it is "bacterial SSU rRNA". It matches the Rfam family "Bacterial small subunit ribosomal RNA", at positions 360 to 771 of the family's 1533-position model. The record is from RNAcentral. Lineage: Bacteria; Bacillati; Actinomycetota; Actinomycetes; Nakamurellales; Nakamurellaceae.